RNAcentral lists this ribosomal RNA (1434 nucleotides) under metagenome. Its description in RNAcentral is "bacterial SSU rRNA". It matches the Rfam family "Archaeal small subunit ribosomal RNA". The record is from RNAcentral.
ACUGCUAUUUGGGUGAGGAUAAGCCAUGCGAGUUGGAUGGGAUACCUAAAGUUCCCAUAGCAAACUGCUUAGUAACACAUGAUCAACUUGCCCUAUGGAGAAAACUAACCUCGGGAAACUGAGGAUAAUGUUUCAUAGUUGAAUAGGCUUGGAAAAGUUUUUCAAUGAAAGGAAUAAGAUAAAUGGUUCUUAUUUGCCAUAGGAUAGGAUCGUGGUCGAUUAUGGUAGUUGGUGAGAUAACGGCUCACCAAGCCGAUAAUCGAUAGGGGCCGUGAGAGCGGGAGCCCCAAGAUGGGUACUGAGACAGCGACCCAGGCCUUACGAGGCGCAGCAGGCGCGAGACCUCCGCAAUACACGAAAGUGUGACGGGGUUACCCAAAGUGUUCUCUUAAGAACUGUGGUAGGUGAGUAAUGUCCCCUGCUAGAAAGGAGAGGGCAAGGCUGGUGCCAGCCGCCGCGGUAAAACCAGCUCUUCAAGUGGUCGGGAUAAUUAUUGGGCUUAAAGUGUCCGUAGCCGGUUUAGUAAGUUCCUGGUAAAAUCGGGUAGCUUAACUAUCUGCAUGCUAGGAAUACUGCUAUACUAGAGGGCGGGAGAGGUCUGAGGUACUACAGGGGUAGGGGUGAAAUCUUAUAAUCCUUGUAGGACCACCAGUGGCGAAGGCGUCAGACUGGAACGCGCCUGACGGUGAGGGGCGAAAGCCAGGGGAGCGAACCGGAUUAGAUACCCGGGUAGUCCUGGCCGUAAACGAUGCAUACUAGGUGAUGGUACGGCCAUGAGCCGUAUCAGUGCCGUAGGGAAACCGUUAAGUGUGCCGCCUGGGAAGUACAGUCGCAAGGCUAAAACUUAAAGGAAUUGGCGGGGGAGCACCACAAGGGGUGAAGCCUGCGGUUCAAUUGGACUCAACGCCGGGAAACUUACCAGGGGAGACAGCAGAAUGAGGGUCAGGUUGACGACCUUACCUGAUGAGCUGAGAGGAGGUGCAUGGCCGUCGCCAGUUCGUGCUGUGAGGUAUCCUGUUAAGUCAGGCAACGAACGAGAUCCGCACCUUUAUUUGCCAACAAGAAGUUACGACUUCGUUGGGAACACUAAAGGGACCGCCGUCGAUAAGGCGGAGGAAGGAGCGGGCAAAGGCAGGUCAGUAUGCCCCGAAACCCCUGGGCUACACGCGGGCUGCAAUGGUAUGAACAAUGGGCUGUAACUCCGAAAGGAGAAACCAAUCCCGAAAUCAUAUCACAGUGGGGAUUGUUGGCUGUAACCCGCCGACAUGAACGUGGAAUCCCUAGUAAUCGUGUGUCAUCAUCGCACGGUGAAUACGUCUCUGCUCCUUGCACACACCGCCCGUCGCUCCAUCCGAGUGUACUAAAAAUGAGGUUUGGUCAGACUGGUCAUAUCGAGUUUCUAGUAUGCGAGGAGGGAGAAGUCGUAACAAGGUA